CCCAGCAGGCUCAGUUUCACAUCAGUAUACUCCUAGUAUUUGCAGGUGAUGUCAUAAUGCAGUGGUCAGGCGGUGACAGUGUUACCACCACCAGCAGCAAAAAGUGUCCUCCUUUCAAAGAUGUGGUCGAUGAUGACCAGUGUUCCAUUGCACUGCUUCAGUGAUGAGAUGUUUGUGGAUUUAAGGCACGUGUUUGCAGAGGAUGAGAAUCUUGAAUAUUUGAUGCGUGAUCAUGUAUGAAGAGUAACCCCUCUGGCAAUACCGUCCCAGGAUCUUGAUGAUGAUGAUCAGGUACAGGGUACCCUUUGCCACGCACCUCACGGUGGCUUGCGGAGUAUCGAUGAAGAUGUAGAUGUAGAAUCACAUAUUGUUCCUGCACCCACACCUUUUCAUCAUCAUCAACAUUAGAGUGUUGGCAGUUAAACAUAAAGCAGUGUAUUCAGAUAUUGACCAUAUCAUCUCAGACUUCUACUGAUGAAAUGCUCGAUGAACUGGAACUGCCACCCCAGCCACCAACACCAUGACCAUCACAAGCACUGAUAGCUGAUGUGCCAACUGCGGUCACUACACAGCACACAGUAGUUGCAAGUAGUAGCAGCGCCAGCAGCUGUGUCCUGACUCCUCAGCCAGUACCACACACGUCUGUGCCGAUGUCAGCAACAACACAGCACUUGGCCAACCUAUCAUGAGGAGCAGCAGUGCCAUCAGCAUCAGCAUCACCACCGAUGUGAUCAGUACCAUCACUAUUGCAAACAUCAGGGCCACCUGGAUGGGGUCUUCGUAGUAUUAGUGGCGAUCAGUUACCAGUCAGCAGCAGCCCGUCUGCCCAUUCUGACUGUUAAGAUGAGAAUGUUCAGGUAUUCCAGAAAGCAUUACCAUUUUCUGAGUUAUUCGAAGUGUACUUGGAGAAAGUACUGCAUCUGUAACACAGUCGGGAAUCAAUAUCUGAUUCUU
Schistocerca piceifrons (Central American locust) is the source of this 954-nucleotide long non-coding RNA. RefSeq lists it as uncharacterized. The transcript has 4 exons. The record is from RefSeq and is a predicted model, not a curated record. NCBI's taxonomy places the organism in Eukaryota, Metazoa, Arthropoda, Insecta, Orthoptera, Acrididae.